Mytilus trossulus (common blue mussel) is the source of this 10150-nucleotide RNA transcript. It is a transcript of the gene named dedicator of cytokinesis protein 1-like, with no coding region annotated. The record is from RefSeq and is a predicted model, not a curated record. Lineage: Eukaryota; Metazoa; Mollusca; Bivalvia; Mytilida; Mytilidae. The transcript is spliced from 58 exons.
CGUGACACGAAUGGAAGUCGAGUAUCGUCUGUGUACACUUUUAUAUUUUGUGUAGUGGAAUUUUUAAUUAAGUUAUGAUUAAUCUUCUGACAUGAAUAAGCAUAAAAAUGACCAAGUGGGUUAAAUUUGAUAGCAAAUCAAAACAUGGUAUAGCUGUAUGCAAUUUUAAAGUUGAAAGAGUAGGAUUUUUGAAGUUAUUUAUUGGAGAUGUGGUACUCAUCUAUGAAGAAGGAGAUGAGUGGUACAGAGGUCAACUUUCAAAGGACAAAACUAAGAAGGGAAUCUUUCCUAAGAAAUUUGUUCGUCUUAAAGAAAUAGGCAUAAAAAAAACAGGUUCCUUAGAUUUAUCAGGAAGGAUUACUACACUAGAGCUGCCACUCAUUCAAGAGAUUACAACUGUACUUCGAGAAUGGCACAACAUAUGGAAGCAGCUUUUUGUGGAGAGAAGACCCGAACUUAUGUCUGUUCAAGACAUGAUGCAAGAACUAAUCGAUCAAAGGAGAAAAAUUAUGUCGAGAAAACUUACGGCGGAAGAACUAAGAGACAUUCAGCAGAAAAUUGCAACAAAAAUAGAUUUAGGAAAUGCCUUAUUAGGAUUAGACUUGGUUGUUAGAGAUGAACUCGGUAGUGUCUUGGAUCCUGACGUAACCAGUACAAUACAGUUGUUUAGACAGCAUGAAGAAGCCUCAGAAAGAAUAAAGUCAGAACAGGAGCUUGGUAUUAAGGACACGCAAAGAGAAAAAAUUGACAAAACUAAAGAUGAAUUGACUAGUAUGAAUUGGCCACAGACAUUUAACAUUUAUGUUAUGUUAAGGAACUUUGUUUGCAGAAUAGGUGAAGAUGCUGAUUUGUUGAUGAGUCUUUAUGAUGCUAAGCUGGGGAAAUUUAUCAGUGAAAACUAUGUUGUAAAAUGGGGUAAAGAAGGUGUUCCAAAAGAUAUAGACAACCUGAAUAACUUUAAAGUUGUCUUUACUGACCUUGGUAUUAAGGAUAGGCAAAGAGAAAAAGUAUUCCUAGUCAUUCAAGUGGUUAGAGUUGGUGUAAUGGAUCCAAAUGAUGUCAAUGAUAAGAAACAGACCAAAUGCUUAAGACGUCCAUUUGGAGUGGCAGCCACAGAAAUAACAGACAUAUUACAGGGUCUGAAAGAAGUUAAUGAAGAUAUGCAACAGUUUAUUCCAUUCCAACAACCAAGUGGGGAAGAGUUCAUGGAAUCUUUAAUCAAGAAAGUUGUCUCAGCUAAAGAAAUCAACCACAAAGGUCAAGGACUAUGGGUUUCACUUAAAAUCAUGAUGGGAGACCUCAAGCAGGCAAGAGAAGAACAUCCACAUUUAGUCACCAUGGCAACUACAGUAUCAAGAAAGAUGGGAUUCCCAGAGGUUAUCAUGCCAGGAGAUGUUAGGAAUGAUAUUUAUGUAACUAUCAAACAAGGAGAGUUUACCAGAGGUUCUAAAACAGCUGACAAAAAUGUGGAAGUAACUGUGUUAGUGUGCAAUAAACAAGGAGAACCAUUAAAGGAUGUUAUAAGUUAUGGCUGUGGGAAUGAUAUGACAAAUGAGUACAGAUCAUUGGUGUUCUAUCAUGAAGAUAAGCCUAAAUGGUUUGAAACUAUAAAGAUUGCCAUAUCAACAGAGGAGGAGUUUAAAGGUCUUCAUCUGAAGUUUUUAUUUAAACACAGGUCUUCCAGUGAAAGCAAAGAUAGAUCUGAGAGGCCAUUUGCCAUGUCAUUUAUUAAACUGCUGAACCAGAAAAAUGGUACAACAUUGAACGAUACAGACCACAAUCUACUAGUCUAUAAGAAUAAAAAUGACGGGAUAGAGAAAAAAGAUGAUAAACAAGCACCAUACUUAGAUCUGCCAUGUACUAGGGAUGACCUCGAAGAACAAGGCAUACACAAAGACAGUAAAGUGCCUCUGUUUAGUGGACCAUUCACUCUUAGUCAAAGAGAUAGCUUCCAGAUCAAUACAUUUGUUUGCUCUACAAAACUCACACAUAAUGUGGAUAUUCUAGGGUUGUUGAAGUGGCAGGAAUUAUUGAAUGAGUUGGAUCCAUCAGCACUUCGACUUCACUUAGAAAAACUGAUGCAUGUUGACGGAGAGGAAAUAGUCAAAUUUUUACAAGAUCUGUUGGAUUCCUUAUUUAGAAUAUUGAUAGAGAACACAAUAUCAGACACAUAUGAUAGUCAAGUGUUUGAAUGCUUGGUACAUAUAAUUGGUUUGAUAUCAGACAGAAAGUAUCACCAGUUCAGGCCAGUAUUAGAUGCUUACAUUACCGAUACCUUCAGUUUCCCUUCUGCUUACCAAAAGCUAACAACAUUACUCAGAGAAUAUGUAGAUAGAGCAACAGAAGUUAAUCAGAAGUAUCUGGUCAAGGCCAUGAAGUCAUUGGAAUAUCUGUUUAAAUUUAUAGUCAAGUCAAGGAGCUUAUUUAAUUUAUUGGAGGAGGGUAAAGGGAAAGUGGCCUUUGAACAAACAAUGAAACAUUUACUUCAUGCAAUAAGUGGUAUGAUGUUACACACCAGUGAUAACACACUACUAGCUCAGGGUUCAGCAUUGAAGUACAUGUGUUCAGCAAUAAAGGAUAUUGCUCAGGUGUUUGAUUUAGUAGAACUUAGUCGUUUAAUGGUUGAGUUUAUAAAUAAUGUGCCAAAAGAAAGAUUAACAAAACAGAAGUUGAAGUGUAUAGAUGACCUUGUACAUAGUGAUUUAUUUAAAUAUCCAGAAUGUCGUAGAAUUCUACUUUCCAUGAUUCUCUCUCACACCAAGUCACUGAUGGAAGAAAAAAAGGAGGAAUUGGAGGACUGUAUACUGGUACUUAGUGAUAUCAUGGAUGUCAUGUAUAGUAAAGAUUUUGGUUCUCAUGAGGAGGACAUAGAAGAAAUUAUUAGAAUGAAUUUAAGAACUAUCAUUCAGGCAGCCAUCAUUUUGGAGAGAAAAUCCAAAGUAGCAUCCUCAGCUGUGUUAUAUUGCAGGACAAGUUGUGUUGCUGUGUUAUUAAGUGUUUUAAGACAAAUGACAGAUAGACAUUAUAAAAUGUAUAUGGAAGAGUUUUCAUACACGAUAGACUUACGUGAUUUCCUAAUGGAAAUAUUAAUAUUAUUCCGAGUUCUGGUGGAAAAUACAGUGUUUCCUUCAGAUUGGGUAGAGAUGAUCAUGUUACAGAAUAGCAUAAUACUACGUGCCUUAAGAUUUUUUGCUCACACAAUUCAUGAAAAGUUUUCAACAGAUUUUGAGGAACAGUUAUGGAACUGUUUCUUUCAUUGUGCAAUAUCAUUCCUCACACAGAGAGCAUUACAGUUAGAAAUGUUCACACCAUCAAAAAGAACCAAAAUUAUAUCACGCUACAAAGAUAUGAGAAGAGAGGCUGGGUUUGAAAUUAGACACAUGUGGUUUCAUUUAGGACAAAAUAAACAAUAUUUUAUACCUGCAUUGGUAGGACCAAUACUUGAAAUGACAUUAAUUCCAGAACAAGAAUUACGAAAGGCUACCAUACCAAUAUUCUUUGACAUGAUGUCCUUUGAAUUCAAUGAGAUUGAUUCUACAACUGGAAAAAUCAAAGGAAACUUUUCUCAGGUUGAAAAUGAGUUAAUUAUGAAACUGGAUGCUUUAGUAGAAGGUGGAUGUGGGGAUGAAGAAUACAAAGAAAUGAUAUAUGUCAUAUUAUUACAGUUAUGUAAAGGUCAUUCAGCAAUGAUGGAAUCAGGAGUGAGAUUUGUGAAUACAAUCAAAGAAUUACUACAAAGACUAUUAGAAUAUAGGAAGAUUAUACAGAAUGAGAUUAAAGAACAUCGAAUGAGCUGUAUUGUUAAUCUGCUGAAUUUUUACCAUGAUAUUGAAAGACAGGAAAUGUACAUAAGAUAUCUAUAUAAACUUUGUGACCUUCACCUUGAAUGUGAAAAUUAUACAGAGGCAGCUUAUACUAUAAUGUUACAUGUUAAUUUACUUCAAUGGUCAGAUGAAUCCUUACCACCGAUGUUACAAUGUAAUUGGCAUCUAGAGGCACAGACACAGAGACAGCUCAAAGAAAUGUUAUACUAUGAUAUUGUAGGCUACUUUGACAAGGGAAAAAUGUGGGAAAAGGGUAUUCAGCUGUGUAAAGAAUUAGCCCAGUUAUAUGAACAAGAAUUAUUUGAUUAUGAACGUCUCAGUGUUAUACUUAGACGACAAGCAGACUUGUACAGUCAUAUCAUAUCAAAACUCAGACCAGACCCUGAAUAUUUCAGAGUUGGAUAUUUUGGCAGAGGGUUUCCAUCAUAUUUGCAAAACAAAGUAUUUAUAUACAGAGGUAAAGAUUAUGAAAGGUUACCAGAUUUUAAUGCCAGGAUGCAAACAUUAUUCCCUAAUGCAGAGUUGAUGAGAUCGUUGCAGCCUCCUUCAGAGGAGACAAAGGAAUCUGAUAAAGAAUACCUCCAGAUUAAUUCUGUCUCACCAGUGUAUGAUCUCCAUGGAAGAUUUGGCGAGAAGCAUGUUAGUGAGAGAAUUCAACAAUAUUUUACAAAAAAUGAAGUGAGUAAAUUCCAAUACUCUAGAAAGAUGGAGGAUUCUGGCGGUGAUGUAACUAGUUUGUGGUUAGAGAGAACCUUUUUAACAACAUCCUAUGAAUUUCCUGGCAUUUUAUGUUGGUUUCCUGUAAUAGCUGUUACAACAUAUCAAGUGAGUCCAUUAGAGAAUGCAUUUGACACCCUGGACACUACUAACAAGAAAAUCAACAAAGAAGUAGAGCAUCAUAUAUCAGAGCCCUCAGCUAAUGUACAAAACCUUAGUAUGUUGUUACAAGGUAUAAUAGAUGCUUCUGUCAAUGGUGGAAUCUCAAAUUAUAAAAUGUUUUAUAAUGAUGAUUAUGGAGAUUCCAUAGAGGAUAGAAAACUUGUCCGGAAACUAAAAGACUCAACCAGGCAUCAGUUGGUGCUGUUAAGAGAGGCAUUGAAUAUAUUUAAACGCAAAGCUCCAGAAGAUCUCAGACCUUUUAGUGCUCAUUUGGAACAGAAAUAUGAAGAAAUGUGUGUUCAAAUAAAACAGGAAUAUAGCCUUAAAGCUCCUGACAAUACCUCAGUGAAUACAUUGAAGAGAUACAAGUCUAUGUCAGCUGUCAGUCUGAGUCGAGUCAGUGAAGCUUUCUAUUCAUCACAGAGUACCAAUGAUCUGAACCGACUUAGAUCAAAUUAUGCCACACCAGUGAUACGUACACCAGCCACCCGUACACCAUCAGUGUUCGUCAAAGCUGACAGAUCAAACAGUAUAUCACCGAACAAGGGAGCAAAAGUCAGCAACUUAUUCAAACGCACCUCAUUUGCUGCUUCUGAUCAGAGUAGCGAAGGGGGUAGCAGUAAUCGUAACUCGCUUGAACAACCUAUUGAGUUAACUGAGCAGAUGGGUCCAUGGAGUAAUAUACCAAUAACACCAAGACGUCCACUGCGACCAGAUGCCAAUGACCGCAGACAGAAUCGACCAGGCAGUAAUCAGUUUGCCCCAUCAACAUUGUCAUAUCUUAAUAAUGCAGGCAGCAACUCAUCUUUGAUAGAUAACAACAGUGACACAGAUACAUCGGAUGAACCUCCGCCAUUACCUGACAAGUGUGCCGAUUCUACAACUCCCAUUGAGACACCACCAAUACACAAUCGACAAGCUGGUCACAGAAAGUCUAAGGUAAACAGUAUAUUCACAUUUCGUCGUAACAGCAAGUUACAUGUGACAAUAGACAGCAGGUUACAUGGGACAGAUCAUAUCCUCACAAAGAAGGAAGAAAAGGGACGCCGCAAAGAUAAACAUUGAAUUUUAUUGAUUUAUUAUUUUCAUGUCUAAUUAUGUUAUGUUUCAUGAAUUAUUAUUUUUUAGGAAAACUUGUUUUUUGGUGUGUUUUUUUUCAAAAUGUAUUUGAGUGUCUAACAAGUACCAUACAUUGCUUAUUUUUGAUAUCUGUUGCCUUAUGAUUUUGUUUGCUGUAUCAGUAAAAUUACAUGACAUACAUUAAAUAUGUACAUCACUUUAAUGUACAAUGUAGAAUGCAUAAUUUAGAAUAAAGGUUUUUGUUUGUUUUAUCCUUCAUUCUGAAUAAAAAAAAAGAAGCUUGUUACUUGAUCAUUUCAAAACUCUGAAGAAAUUUUUCAAAGAGAAAUGAGCACUCAGGUACGAUACACGAAAUACAUACAUGACUGAGGUAAACAUGUCAACCUUGUCAACACUUUUCUUUAACAUUUGGAAGGAGUUAAAAUAUUACUAUCUUCAAUCAUGUAAUCAUAUAUUUUUUUUAAGAUUUUUAUUCAAACAUACUUGAUAUUGAUCAAUUGGUGAUUAAAAUCUUUAAAAUACAUAAAAUUCACUAAAAGCAUAUACCCAUACAAUUAUAGAAAAAUUCUUUCACAACAUUUUACUCAUUCAGGUUCAUAAUUUUACCUGAUGGUAAAGCCAUCUUACUUCCUUAAGAGUCUAUAUAGAGCCAGCUUAAAAAAAGAUACUAAGGUCUUACAUGUUUCAAAUUUAAUUUGCAAUAUGAACAUGAAGAUUUAGGAAAGCAUGUUUUAAGUACAGAUGAUGUAUAACUUGUUUAUAAUGAAAACAACUUUAAUUUAGAUUCCUUCCAUGUAUUUAAACAUCAGGUAAAUCUAUGAAAGGGUAUUAAAGGGUAAAUAUAUAGAAACAAAAUAUGGCAAGUUCUUGAAAUAGAUGGUAUAUAGAAUGUCAAAGAAGGAAAAUAGCUUGAAUGUUAAAUAAAUCUGAUGUUUAACAUUUGGAAAUUAGCUAUUUAACACCAAUUCCAAUUAAAAUUUUGCAAAAUAGUUUAUGUUUUCUUUAUAUUGUUUUAUCCCCAACACAAAUUAACAUUGCAUUGAACAUUCAAUACUUUUAUUUUCUUUCAUCUUUGUAUGUAGCAUGUAUUUCAUUACUUCAAAACUUUUUCACAUUAAAAAGCUACUUAUGAUCUUCAUGUAUGCACAUAACAUCAUCUUUUUUUUAUCUAUAAAGUUAAAUAUAUCUUAAUACAAUUUUUUGUUUGCAAUGCAUAUGCAUUAUUAUGUAAAUAUUAAUACAUAAUACAUCUCAUUUCAAUGCUCGCACUACAUUGUAACAGCAUGUGUGAAUGCUCUUCUUUCUCUUUUCAGCCUAUACCUCCACUUCCAAAUGAAGGAGGAUCGCCACCUCCUGUGCCUAAAAAAUCUUCAACACCGAACUGCAAGUGAUUCAACUGCCGCAUGGUGGGUUGUCUUUCUUUGAAGAACUCUUCAGUCUUGCCUUAUAUGAUGGAAUGACUUUAUAUAUAUGUGAAUGACUUCUGAGGGCAUAUUUUUUUUCUUUUUCAAAUAUUGAUAGAUGAUAUAGAACUGUUUGAAAAAAAAAUGGAAAUGAAGGAUUUUCUAAAAAUAUUGAUAUUAAGUUUGUGGAUGUUGAAAUAAAACGAACAUUUUAUUAUACAAUUUGUAUUAUAAUGUUAACUUUAAAAGACUAGACUUUUUCUGAUGUGCAGAUAUAAGGAUGGAAAUGUAAUUUGAUAUCCUAAAUGUUUAUUAUCAGUAAGCAGUUUUAAACUUUAAUAUUGUAGAAUAUCUUUAAAUGUCUUUUUUUGAUACAGGUGGAAAAUAUUUAAUGAUCUUAGCAAGAAUAAUGCUUAUUUGCUUCUUUUUGCAUUCUUUCUUCUUUCUUUUUUCCUUCGUUUUAAGGUAUUUGAAUUAUAUGUCAACUUUUGUUGGUGACAUUUAGUUAAAUUCCAUUGAUCUAGAUUUUUGUAGCAAAUAUAUAAACAAAAAGAUAACCAAUAUCUCACAGUCACUGAAUAAAGAUUUAUUUCAUUAUUCAAAUCCUAUUUUUCCAAAGACAUAAUUUGGGUUACAUUAAGGUGUUUUUUAACAAACAAAAAAUAUAUAUCGUCCCUCUUUGAUGAAAAAAGGAAAAUAAAUGGAUACCAUGAUUUUUUCUCUGAAGACAGCUGUAUAGAUAUAAGGAGAAAGAUAACUGUUGCCUUGCAGUAUAUUCUCAGAGGAUGGUUACACAAUUAUAAGAAAAGAUUUGAGUGGCCUUGCACUCUAAUUCUGUGAUAAGGAUGUGUUCAUUUUUACUGGAGUCAUUUUGAUAAAUUUUAUGCUGUUAUUGUUGUAGCUAUUUGUUAAUUAUCAUUAAUUAUGUAAUUAUUCAACAAUGAGAUGUUUAUAGUUUUGAUUGAUAUUUGUGAAGCAGGAAACAUAUGAUAUUUUUUCAAUCAUGGUUUUAUUCAGACAAAUCAAAAUUUAUUGUCGUUUUCAGCUAUGAAAAUUAAAUUUUGACAAUUUUUUUUUAACAAACAAAUAUAAUAUGUUGUUAAAAAAUGAUAUUUUUAGAAAUAACAGCUUAAAGGAAGUAAGGGUAACACCAAUCAGGGUAAUAACCCAUGGCUGUACUGUCAAAUGUCAGGCAUACUGUAGAUUCAGAAAUUAUAGAGAUAUUUUUAUUAAUGACAGUAACGUGACUGGCUGAGUACCACAAUAAUAAGAAUUUGCAAUAAUAUGAUAUCUAAUACAUAUAUUUCAAUUCAGACUUUCAUGAAAUCGCAAUAAUAUAUCGUACACAAUUAUUUUUGAACUUACAGUAACUAGAACCAUAUCAGAUUAUCACUGUUACAGAAAUAUGAACGGUUUGUUGAUUAUACCAAUAGCUAAUUAAAUGUAGAGGUACUUCUCUUUGUCUAGUGGCAAUGCUAGAUCCUUGAUCAUGUAAUUAAGAAUAUAAAAUUAUUAAUAAAAUUUCCUUCUUUUUGUAUAUACAAUGGUUUCCUGCUUCACAUUUAUCUGUUUCAGUAGAUUUUUUUUAUAUAUAAAUAAGUCAAGUAUUUGACCAAUUAUUUUUAAUAUGCUGCUGUGUAUAUGGUGCUUUUACAUUUAUUUGCUAAUAUAAAUAUACAUUUUGUAAAUUAUUGUAAAAUUUCUAAAAUUUAUUCUAUUGUAUAUGUUACAAGCAUUGCUGAAACUUUUUGUAAUGUUAAUGUAGUCAGACUCCAGAUUAAGAACUGUUCCAGGGAUCCAUGAUUUUUCAUAAUUUUUCCUAUGUACUUUCCAAAUUUUAGUGUCAUUUCAUGAAUUUUUGUGUAAUCUUCAGCCAUACUUUCAUAUAAAUCACCUUAUCAUGGCUAUCCUCAUGUUGAACUAUUUGAUAGCUUUAUUUUAGUGUGUUCCUUUAAUAAUGUUAACUUUUAAAUUAAUAAUCAGGAGGAACUAAGUCUUUUUCAAUUGAAGCUCAAAUAAAAUUAUAUUUACACAAUCUUCUUUUCUUAAAUCAUUGUAAAUAUUUAUGGUCAAAUAUAAUCAGUUGUAGUGCAGAGCAUUCUGAAUUUUGAAAAAUAUUUAACAUUCGUAAUUCUGUCCUGAUUGAUAUCCUGAAAGGUCAUUGAAAAUAAAACAUGGAUUUUAUGUAAAUAUUUCAUAACCUCAAUUUCAUAAUCUGACCCUCAGACUGAAUUAUUUAGUACACUGCUUCAUAAAGAAGUGAGAAAGGUGGAUGGGAUAUCAUAUUUAGUUCUAGUAAUACUUGGUUCAAGGUCUCAAAAUUCUGUACAAAAAAAUGCCUUACUUCAGAAAAUAUAUGAAAUAACAGUUUUUUUGUUUUUCAAGCUGCUCAUUCCAUUUUAUUUUGAAUUUUCAGAUAAUGUAUAACAAUCUCAUCUAUACAUCUUUGUAUUCCUUUUCAUGUAAAAGACUUUAGUGUUAAUUGAUGAUUUUAUCUAGUCAUUUUUGUUCUUAUGAUGUGUGUUUGUGACACCAUAGAUUAAGAAAAAAUAAUUUCAUUAAAAGUAAAAUUACAUAUUUCUAAAUUUUAUUUUUGCAUGACAAAAAGAUUUCUAUCAAACCUAUACUAAGUUAGACAUUGAAUUAGCAUUAAAAAUAGUUUUCUUCAUUUUAUACUCACCACAAUCAAAUUCUAUUUUAAAACAGGACAAACCAAGCAUACUUAAAUUACAAGUAGGGGAAUAUAUCCUUAUUUUAAUGUUUUGCCUGUUAUGCUGCAUAAUACAAAUCUUGUCAGAAUUAUUUUGCCAGUAUUUUUGUCCCCACCCUAACCAUUACUUACUAAUUUGCAAGAAUAUUUCUGUGCAUCAUUUGUUAUAGCUUAUUAUUACUGUUAUGUUAUUAUUUUUGUAUAUUCUGAAAUCAUUUUAUGACAGAGACACUGUAAUAAAUCUUUAAUACUGA